RNAcentral lists this ribosomal RNA (492 nucleotides) under uncultured bacterium. Its description in RNAcentral is "partial 16S ribosomal RNA". It matches the Rfam family "Bacterial small subunit ribosomal RNA", at positions 29 to 507 of the family's 1533-position model. The record is from RNAcentral.
AGUGAACGCUGGCGGCAGGCUUAACACAUGCAAGUCGAACGGCAGCACAGUAAGAGCCUGCUCUUACGGGUGGCGAGUGGCGGAUGGGUGAGGAAUACAUCGGAAUUUACUUUUUCUAGGGGGGUAACGUAGGGAAACUUACGCCAAUACCGCUUACGACCUACGGGUGAAAGCAGGGGAUCUUCGGACCUUGCGCGAGUGAAUGAGCCGAUGUCGGAUUAGCUAGUUGGCGGGGUAAAGGCCCACCAAGGCGACGAUCCGUAGCUGGUCUGAGAGGAUGAUCAGCCACACUGGAACUGAGACACGGUCCAGACUCCUACGGGAGGCAGCAGUGGGGAAUAUUGGACAAUGGGCGCAAGCCUGAUCCAGCCAUACCGCGUGGGUGAAGAAGGCCUUCGGGUUGUAAAGCCCUUUUGUUGGGAAAGAAAAGCAGCAUGUUAAUACCCCGCUGUUCUGACGGUACCCAAAGAAUAAGCACCGGCUAACUUCGUG